UGGGAAUGUUUUACCUCCUUCAUAUUCAGGGAUGGUAGCAAUGACAACCACUAGCAAGAACUGAGGUUUGUUUUGUGCACGGCAGCACGGCUUGCUUUUUGGUGCUGAACAUCUGCCUCUCUUGUUUUCCAGGACACUGGAGUAUCUCAUGAGGCACUUGCUGUCUCUGGCCAGGAACUGCUCUAUCACCAACAUGCAUGCUAAGAAUUUAGCAAUUGUGUGGGCUCCAAACCUCUUAAGUUCUUCAGCGGAGCCAGUCUGUGACCACCAGUGGAGAAGCUGCCUGCAUGGAGCUGCAGACACAGACAGCUGUUGUGGAACUCCUCAUAAGCCACGCAGAUGUUCUCUUCGGCUCCAAAUCCACACCAGCCAAGGGAGAGGGAGCAGGGCACAGUUCUCUGUCGGGGUCCAAGUCUGCGUGGGAGUCUCCUACUGUCACACAACUGCUCACCCUGCAGGAGGCACAGGCUCGGAGAAGAGGCCAGAGCAGCUCUCCUGCUGUGGCACAGAACUGCGAUGACAUUGAGGUGGAGGAAGGCCCCGCAGCGGUACUGGGAAGGUUCCACACAGUCAUCAAUUUUUCAUCUGAAAGGUAAAGAGGAAUUCCCUUUUCUGCCCCUAUCAUCAUUGGUCGGGUGGGUUUUAUCGGUUUAAUUUUUCUCCAUUAUAUCUCCGAGGACUCAACAAACAUACAGUUGCCCGAGGGGGUCAACGGAGCCACACAAGGGUUCCUUUCCUUCCUGGUUGGGCAGGCAGUCACGAGAUGCAGACAGCCACUCUGACGUCUUUCCUGGCCUGUGCUGGCUGUAUCAGAAAGCACUGGGGAUUUCCAGAUUUCCAGGCCGCGUGCCUGAAAUCAAUUGCAUUUCUCCUGUAAGCAGACCUGUUGGUCGGAGUUGCUGGCAUUAGAAAUUAAAGAUGGCAGUGAGCUGAGGCCGAGGAGUUAUUAGCGUUAAGAGUCAGA
RNAcentral lists this long non-coding RNA (964 nucleotides) under Coturnix japonica (Japanese quail). RNAcentral describes it as "lncRNA (ENSCJPG00005005414.1)". Lineage: Eukaryota; Metazoa; Chordata; Aves; Galliformes; Phasianidae. The record is from RNAcentral.